RNAcentral lists this ribosomal RNA (764 nucleotides) under Salmonella enterica subsp. enterica serovar Infantis. Its description in RNAcentral is "partial 23S ribosomal RNA". It matches the Rfam family "Bacterial large subunit ribosomal RNA", at positions 2039 to 2802 of the family's 2925-position model. Lineage: Bacteria; Pseudomonadati; Pseudomonadota; Gammaproteobacteria; Enterobacterales; Enterobacteriaceae. The record is from RNAcentral.
AAAUUGAACUCGCUGUGAAGAUGCAGUGUACCCGCGGCAAGACGGAAAGACCCCGUGAACCUUUACUAUAGCUUGACACUGAACAUUGAGCCUUGAUGUGUAGGAUAGGUGGGAGGCUUUGAAGCGUGGACGCCAGUCUGCGUGGAGCCGACCUUGAAAUACCACCCUUUAAUGUUUGAUGUUCUAACGUGGAUCCGUAAUCCGGGUUGCGGACAGUGUCUGGUGGGUAGUUUGACUGGGGCGGUCUCCUCCUAAAGAGUAACGGAGGAGCACGAAGGUUGGCUAAUCCUGGUCGGACAUCAGGAGGUUAGUGCAAUGGCAUAAGCCAGCUUGACUGCGAGCGUGACGGCGCGAGCAGGUGCGAAAGCAGGUCAUAGUGAUCCGGUGGUUCUGAAUGGAAGGGCCAUCGCUCAACGGAUAAAAGGUACUCCGGGGAUAACAGGCUGAUACCGCCCAAGAGUUCAUAUCGACGGCGGUGUUUGGCACCUCGAUGUCGGCUCAUCACAUCCUGGGGCUGAAGUAGGUCCCAAGGGUAUGGCUGUUCGCCAUUUAAAGUGGUACGCGAGCUGGGUUUAGAACGUCGUGAGACAGUUCGGUCCCUAUCUGCCGUGGGCGCUGGAGAACUGAGGGGGGCUGCUCCUAGUACGAGAGGACCGGAGUGGACGCAUCACUGGUGUUCGGGUUGUCAUGCCAAUGGCACUGCCCGGUAGCUAAAUGCGGAAGAGAUAAGUGCUGAAAGCAUCUAAGCACGAAACUUGCCCCGA